Molecule: non-coding RNA, 98 nt
Organism: Acanthosepion pharaonis
Lineage: Eukaryota; Metazoa; Mollusca; Cephalopoda; Sepiida; Sepiidae
Source: the annotation of a GenBank genome assembly
UUGAAACACCGGUUCUCGUACGAUCACCGAUGUUAAGCAAUGUCGAGCCUAGUCAGUAUCUAGAUGGGUGAUCGCUUAGGAAUACCAGGUGUUGUAAG